RNAcentral lists this ribosomal RNA (510 nucleotides) under Ptycta maculifrons. Its description in RNAcentral is "partial 16S ribosomal RNA". The stretch from base 377 to 510 matches the Rfam family "Bacterial large subunit ribosomal RNA", at positions 2473 to 2607 of the family's 2925-position model. The record is from RNAcentral. Lineage: Eukaryota; Metazoa; Arthropoda; Insecta; Psocodea; Psocidae.
AACACAUGUCUUUUUGAUAAAAAUUUAAAGUCCGGUCUGCUCACUGAAUUAUUUUAAAGAGCCGCAGUAUAUUGACUGUGCAAAGGUAGCAUAAUCAAUAGUUUUUUAAUUGAAAACUAGAAUGAAAGAUUAGACGAAAAAUUAAUUUUCUUUAUUUUAAUAAAUUUAAUUUUAAAUUUAAGUGAAAAUGCUUAAGUAUAAUUAAAAGACGAGAAGACCCUAUAGAUUUUUAUUAUUGAAAUAAAUUUUUAAAUUUAAUUUAAUAAAAUAAUUUAAUUGGGGCGAUUUUAUAAUAUAAAUAACUUAAUUUUUUAAAACCAUAAAUAAUUGAAUGUUUGAUCUAAAAUUUUUAAAGGAAAGAUUAAAUUACCUUAGGGAUAACAGCGUAAUUUUAUUUAAGAGUUCAUAUCUAUAAUAAAGUUUGCGACCUCGAUGUUGAAUUAAGAUAAUAUAUUGGAGUAGAAAUUAAUAUAAUUAGUCUGUUCGACUAUUAAAUUCUUACGUGAUCUG